GGAGGGAGGAUAGAGAGUGACUGCUUAAUGGGUACAGAUUGCCUUUUAGGGUAAUGAAAAUGUUCUGGAACUAGGCAGUGGUGGUAUCACAUAGCAUUGUGAAUGUACUAAAUGUCGCCAAUGCUAAUUUUUAUGUUAGGUGUAUUUUACCACAGUAAAAAAAAAUAUAUAUAUGCACACAUGCACACACACACUUAAAAAAGUAAUCUUUCUGGUUUGUUAAUAGCAACUGCAACCUCUAAGGUCCUUUGGCAACGUACCUGAUGAGUGGUCAUGCAGAUUGUACCAGAAUAUCCUCACUGAGAAGAAAGUUGCUCAAAAGAAAAAUGUAUCAUUGGGCUGCUACCAGCUGUAUGCAGAUUCUAGAACCAAAGAGGACAAAUCCUUGCUCAAACUGUAAAGAGGAAAACCAUCUAUCGGGGCCAGCGUUUCACAGAGGAACUAUGCCAUGCAACACAACCUGGGAAACACCACUGAAGCAAGCAGGAUUUCCUCUCCCAUGAGGUCUGG
Long non-coding RNA from Herpailurus yagouaroundi (jaguarundi), 510 nucleotides. RefSeq lists it as uncharacterized. The transcript is spliced from 3 exons. NCBI's taxonomy places the organism in Eukaryota, Metazoa, Chordata, Mammalia, Carnivora, Felidae. The record is from RefSeq and is a predicted model, not a curated record.